Molecule: ribosomal RNA, 340 nt
Filed under: uncultured bacterium
Lineage: Bacteria
Description: bacterial SSU rRNA
Rfam family: Bacterial small subunit ribosomal RNA
Source: RNAcentral
AAUCAACGCUGGCGGCGUGCCUCAGACAUGCAAGUCGAACGAUUAAAGCUCUCUUCGGAGAGUGUAUAGAGUGGCGCACGGGUGAGUAACACGUAAGUAAUCUACCCUCGAGUGGGGAAUAACGUCCGGAAACGGACGCUAAUACCGCAUAAUGCAGCGGCACCGCAAGGUGACAGUUGUUAAAGAUUUAUCGCUUGAGGAGGAGCUUGCGGCAGAUAGCUAGUUGGUAAGGUAAUGGCUUACCAAGGCUACGAUCUGUAACCGGUCUAAGAGGACGGUCGGUCACACUGACACUGAAUAACGGGUCAGACUCCUACGGGAGGCAGCAGUCGGGAAUUUU